CCUACGGGAGGCAGCAGUGGGGAAUAUUGCGCAAUGGGGGAAACCCUGACGCAGCAACGCCGCGUGAGUGAUGAAGGCCUUCGGGUCGUAAAGCUCUGCCAACGCUGACGAUAAUGACGGUAAGCGAGGAGGAAGCCACGGCUAACUACGUGCCAGCAGCCGCGGUAAU
Molecule: ribosomal RNA, 169 nt
Filed under: uncultured Clostridium sp.
Lineage: Bacteria; Bacillati; Bacillota; Clostridia; Eubacteriales; Clostridiaceae
Description: partial 16S ribosomal RNA
Rfam family: Bacterial small subunit ribosomal RNA
Source: RNAcentral